Molecule: long non-coding RNA, 2169 nt
Filed under: Homo sapiens (human)
Lineage: Eukaryota; Metazoa; Chordata; Mammalia; Primates; Hominidae
Description: non-protein coding lnc-ADARB2-6:2
Source: RNAcentral
GAUAUCAAGGGAUAGAGUUAGGGUUUCUGUGGGUUUUGUUUUUGCUGAGGAAAGGAUGUGCAGGUCGAUAGCUAUUGUUUCCUUUCCAUUCCUGUGAUUCUCUUUACAUCUGUAUAUAUCUAUCACACCAUGCUGACUUUGUGAUGAGUCCUGUUCCUCAGAAACAUCAAGCUGGGUUCCUUUUCAAAGAAACACACAGAUCAUAUUUCUCCAUCUCAUUUUGUUUUCACAGGGAGCUUUUCUUAUCAACAAAGUCGCAUGCUUUUUUUUUUGGAUAUAAUGUUUAUCACGUCUGGAGAGCCAUAAACAGUAAAUACAGAGGAUAUCAAUGCCCAGAAUAGUUAUUUUGAUGAAAUCCUAUUUUUAGAUAAUAAAUUUCAAGAUGUGUCUAUAGUGUAUUGUUUAAAACAACUGAAGACAUUUGAGACGUACAUAAAGUAGACAUUUUUAAUUUAGGGAAACUUAUAUGCCCUUUUUUAAGAAGCCAUUCUAAUAAAAUAAUCUGACUAAUUGGCCCAAAAUACAAUAAGUAUCACUUUCUAACAGAGACCAAAGGGAAGCUGAGAGGCUUUCCUUUUAUGUACUACCGUUGGAUCGCUGCAGCCGCCUCUCAUAACACCCAACAGAACCCGGUGAGGCUCUGUGGGCUUCCCGCGGCCCUCAGGGAGGCUGCAGAGUCCCCUAGUCCAUGUCAGGGAGCCGCCAUCCCACAUACCUCCAAAGCCUGUCCUCGCCUGCAGUUUUUGCAGAGCUCGCGGUUGGAGGUGGAAAUUUAGAAGCCCUGUGUUGCAGGAGAGGCAGUAGCACCCCCAGGCAGCUCUUAGCAGGGACAGACCACCCCCCGCCUCGCUGGUAUUUUAGGGUCUUUUGGUAUUUUGCCACUGUGUGGGGCUAGGCGGGUGGCUGGAGGACACGGUGUAGGCCUUGCCGCUGUCUGGGUUCCUCGCCACUGCAGGAGCAGGGCUGUUUCUGGAAACACUGGGCUGCUGGUGACCCGUCAAACUUCUCCCACAAAUUCUGAAUCCGAGAAAGUGAAGGAAGGAUGGUGGGGAAGUGAGGAGGCAGGAGCAGAGGCCACAGGGACCAACCAGAGAUGCGGUGGAGACAGAGGAGCUUCCUUCUCAGGCUGUUUCUGGGAAGCCUGAGAGGCGGCCAGCACCACCCUCCGCUCACUCUCCCCUCAGCCUCUUCGCUUCCCUUCUCAACCCUUUCUCUCCUCCUCGCCUCUUCCCUUUCUUGCUGUCUUGUUAGUCCCUGUCCCAAAACUCCUGGCUCCUUUGUUCUGCUGCCGUGGCCCCCACCCAGGAGGAGGUCUCAGGCACCAUCCCCCCACGAGGGAUCCACACAACAGGUUCAUGCUGGGGCUGGGGGAGCCCCGCUGGGUUCCUGAUGCCUUGUGCACAGGGAGUUGCUGCAGUCAUUUUUGGACUCUCCUGAAUGUGUCCACAUGUUCUGACCUCCCACCAGAAGGAACGCUGGUGGCCACAUCUCUAGAGAUCUAUUUACUUUUUUGAGACCGGCUUAUGAGAUUGGCUAAUUUUUGUAUUUUUGGUAGAGAUGGGGUCUCACCAUGUUGCCCAGGCUAGUCUCGAACUCCUGGCCUCAAGUGAUCUGCCCACCUCGGCCUCCCAGAGUGCUGGGAUUACAGGCAUGAGCCACCGCGCUGGCCUCUAGAGAUUCACACCAAACAAUAUCACUCCUGCGGGAACCGCAGACAGAUCAAACCCUGGUGAGAGGAACACUUUAUUUCCCAACUCAUCAUCCUAAGCCAAGGUUGGAGGGAUGAGCAUUCCCUAAACACCAAGGCGAGAUCACCUGGUCCCAGUGCCUCUUUUCACACAGGCCCUAGAUUUCUAUCUCUCUGCAGUUUAUGCAUCGGUAAAAAAAAAAAAAUCUCUCCCAGUGUGCCCCGUUAGUUUUCAGCAUUUUGUAAGCAAAAUGAACUUAACACAUAGUAAUUCUAAUUGAAGGUAUGUACAUAAAAAGCAUGAUAGAAUGGCAAUAUUGUAUCAAUGGAUGUACAUUUGUAAUAUUUGUAAAAAAAAAUCCAAAACCUUAAAAUAUGAAUUUACAUGUUAAUUUGCCUCUAAGUUCUAUAAAUUGCACUUCAGUGAUAUCUAAUAAGUGAAUGUUUCUGUUAAGUAAAUAAAAAUAUUCAGUAAAAUUGUU